UGGGGAAUAUUGGACAAUGGGCGAAAGCCUGAUCCGGCCAUGCCGCGUGUGUGAAGAAGGUCUUCGGAUUGUAAAGCACUUUAAGUUGGGAGGAAGGGCAGUAAGCGAAUACCUUGCUGUUUUGACGUUACCGACAGAAUAAGCACCGGCUAACUCUGUGCCAGCAGCCGCGGUAAUACAGAGGGUGCGAGCGUUAAUCGGAUUUACUGGGCGUAAAGCGCGCGUAGGUGGUUCGUUAAGUUGAAUGUGAAAGCCCCGGGCUCAACCUGGGAACUGCAUCCAAAACUGGCGAGCUAGAGUAGGGCAGAGGGUGGUGGAAUUUCCUGUGUAGCGGUGAAAUGCGUAGAUAUAGGAAGGAACACCAGUGGCGAAGGCGACCACCUGGGCUCAUACUGACACUGAGGUGCGAAAGCGUGGGGAGCAAACAGG
This 429-nucleotide ribosomal RNA is filed under the name Pseudomonadota bacterium. RNAcentral's name for it is "Proteobacteria bacterium partial 16S ribosomal RNA". It matches the Rfam family "Bacterial small subunit ribosomal RNA", at positions 355 to 776 of the family's 1533-position model. Lineage: Bacteria; Pseudomonadati; Pseudomonadota. The record is from RNAcentral.